AAUCCACUGAGUGUGAUCACUGAUGUCUCC
This 30-nucleotide non-coding RNA is filed under the name Cricetulus griseus (Chinese hamster). The record is from RNAcentral. Lineage: Eukaryota; Metazoa; Chordata; Mammalia; Rodentia; Cricetidae.